Sebastes umbrosus (honeycomb rockfish) is the source of this 147-nucleotide long non-coding RNA. RefSeq lists it as uncharacterized. The transcript is spliced from 3 exons. NCBI's taxonomy places the organism in Eukaryota, Metazoa, Chordata, Actinopteri, Perciformes, Sebastidae. The record is from RefSeq and is a predicted model, not a curated record.
CUGCCACGCAGAGUUCAGUCUUCACCUUGUCAGCAGCAAAAACAAGCAACAAUCUCACCUGUUUGACUCUGAACGCAGUGAAGCAGAGAUGCCCCGACACAGUACACAGGUAGGUAGGUAGGUAGGUAAGUAGGUAGGUAGUUAGGU